UNAUCAUAUGCUUGUCUUAAAGAUAAUCCAUGCAUGUGUAAGUAUAAGUAUUGUACAGCGAAACUGCGAAUGGCUCAUUACAUCAGUUAUAAUUUAUUUGAUAAUCGAAAGUUACAUGGGAUAACCGUGACAAUUACAGCUAAUACAUGCNGUCNGACCUGGUCCAAGGGUCGUAAUUNUUAGUAUUAAACCAUUUCCGAAAGGAGUGUGAUGAAUCAUAAUAAUCGAACCAAUCGCCUGGUGUGCGAUAAAUCAUUCAAMUUUCUGCCCUAUCAGCUUUGGAUGGUANUGUAUUGGACUACCAUGGCAGUCACGGGUNACGGAAAAUUAGGGUUCNAUUCCGGAAAGGGAGCCUGARAAACGGCUACCACAUCUACGGAAAGGCAGCAGGAGCGAAAAUUGCCCAAUCCCGACACGGGGARGCAGUGACAAAAAAUAACAACUCUUGGUUAUUCUAAAAAUUGUAAUGAGGAUAAUUUAAAACCCUUACCGAANCAAUUGGAGGGCAANUCUGGUGCCANCAGCCGCGGUAMNUCCAGCUCCAUUASCGUAUAUUAAAGUUKUUGCAGUUAAAAAGCUCGUAUUUNAAAUUCUGGCUNUUCNAUCCUCRANCUCUGUAGCCGAGGACUCNACNGUCAUCCGCUUGCAAAUAUANNUUCGCUUUUAACCGANUGGCUAUAUAAGUAAGCAAUUUACCUUGGAAAAAAACAAAUGUUCCAGGCAGGUUUGUCCGGAAUGCAUNACCAUGGAAUAAUAUAAUAUGACUGAANUCAAUUUAUUGGUUUGAGGCUUUAGUAAUGAUUAUUANGAACANUCGGGGGCAUUGGUACUUGACANUCAGGAGUGAAAUUCUAGGAUUUGUCAAAAACUAACNAAUGCGAAAGCAUUUGCCAAGGAUNUUUUCAUUAUUCAAAAACNAAAUUUAGGGGAUCNAAAACAAUCAGAUACCGUCCUAGUCUUAACUAUAAACUAUACCGACUCGGAUUCAGAUGAAUCAUAAACUUCAUUUGGGACCGUUGGAGAAAUCAAAGUUUUUGGGUUCUGGGGGAAKUAUGKUCSCAAGGCUGAAAMUUAAAGGAAUUGACGGUUUUGCACCACCAUGGARUGGRWUNYGCGGCUUAAUUUGACUCCACACUGGGAANCUNAUCAGGGCAAGAAGAUUGUAGGAUUGACAGAUUGAGAUUUCUUUCUUGAUUGGUCUAGUGGUGGUGCAUGGCCGUUUCUUAGUUGGUGGAGUGAUUUGUCUGGUNAAUUCCGUNAACGAACGAGACCUUAACNUGCNAAUUAGUACACAGAUGACAAAUCUGUGAUACUUCUNAGAGGGACUAUGUGAUGUAAUCACAUGGAAGUUUGAGGCAAUAACAGGUCUGUGAUGCCCUNNNGAUGUCCUGAGCUGCACGNGUACUACAAUGGUGCUUUCAACGAGCUUUUCCUGAUCCGAAAGGAUUUGGGUAAUCUUUUUAGUGAGCACCGUGCUUGGGAUAGAUCUUUGUAAUUAUGGAUCUUGAACUAGGAAUUCCUAGUAAGCACGUGUCAUCAGCANGUGCCGAUUACGUCCCUGCAAAAUGUACACACCGCCCGUCGNUAUUACCGAUUGAGUGUAAAGGUGAACCUUCUCGAUAGACGCAAGUUUAGAAAUUAAGUAAACCUUUGCACUUAGNGGAANUAAAANUUGNAACAANNUUNCC
RNAcentral lists this ribosomal RNA (1688 nucleotides) under Vorticella microstoma. Its description in RNAcentral is "small subunit ribosomal RNA". It matches the Rfam family "Eukaryotic small subunit ribosomal RNA". Lineage: Eukaryota; Ciliophora; Oligohymenophorea; Sessilida; Vorticellidae. The record is from RNAcentral.